AAAGGUUUAGUAUAUUAAGUAUAUUUUAUUGUCAAUAAUUAGGUUUUGCCUUUA
This 54-nucleotide transfer RNA is filed under the name Angiostrongylus costaricensis. RNAcentral's name for it is "tRNA-Asp". Lineage: Eukaryota; Metazoa; Nematoda; Chromadorea; Rhabditida; Metastrongylidae. The record is from RNAcentral.